UUCAUAAUUGGGGUGGAUUCACGGUGGCGGCGAUGCGAUUUCUUGUUUGUGUUGAUUAUCUUUCGUCUUGAUGUAAUCGGUUCGGCAGGAAAUUCGAGCUGUUGUGAUGUUGGUUCUUUCUGGCAAGUUGAGAGAAAAGCACCUUUCCAAUCACUGCUUCGUUACUGAAACGGAUAGUCUAGUGUAAUAGGAUCCAUCAUGAGCUUCGGGGAGAAUUUUAUGCUUCAUUUCAGUUUGUACGAUAAUAAUUGUAGUACAUAUGAAGGUCAUUUGCAAUUUGAUUUGGAGAUUGAGGAAGAUGGAAAUCGUAUGAGAAAGGGUGGGCUUUGGUAGAACAGUAAGGUUGCUCCGUUGUGAUUUAGGAGACGAGGGUAGUCUCGGCCUCUCUAAAUAUAUAAAGGUAAAGCUGCAUACAUUGACCCUCAGACAUGCAAUCGCGGAAGUGCCAUACACUGGGUUUGCCCUUUAGAAAUCAUGAGCAAG
Molecule: long non-coding RNA, 483 nt
Filed under: Musa acuminata (dwarf banana)
Lineage: Eukaryota; Viridiplantae; Streptophyta; Magnoliopsida; Zingiberales; Musaceae
Description: long non-coding RNA (MACU_LNC000970)
Source: RNAcentral